CAAUAGCGUAUACUAAUGUUGUUGCAGUUAAAAAGCUCGUAGUUGAACUUCUGGUAGGAGUGUCCCGGCCUUUUUGUUUUUACAAAUUGUAUGCUGUGUGACAUCUCUGGCCAUCCUUCUUCUUUGUUUAAAGAAGAUCUUUCACUGUAAAAAAAUUAGGGUGUUCAAAGCAAAAGUUUCUUUGGAGUAUAUUAGUAUGGGAUGAUAAGAUAGGCUCUAGAUGCUAUUUUGUUGGUUUGCACAUUUAGAGAAUGAUUAACAGGGACAGUUGGGGGUAUUCGUAUUUACAUGUCAGAGGUGAAAUUCUUGGAUUUUGGAAAGACGAACUACUGCGAAAGCAUUUACCAAGGAUGUUUUCAUUAA
RNAcentral lists this ribosomal RNA (363 nucleotides) under uncultured eukaryote. RNAcentral describes it as "partial 18S ribosomal RNA". It matches the Rfam family "Eukaryotic small subunit ribosomal RNA", at positions 592 to 976 of the family's 1831-position model. The record is from RNAcentral.